This is a non-coding RNA of Hypoxylon fuscum, 73 nucleotides long. The record is from the annotation of a GenBank genome assembly. NCBI's taxonomy places the organism in Eukaryota, Fungi, Ascomycota, Sordariomycetes, Xylariales, Hypoxylaceae.
AGCUACAUGGCGCAGUGGCAGCACAUCAAGCUUAUGGCCUGAACAUCCUCCCGUUCGAGUCGGGAUGAAGCUG